This 401-nucleotide long non-coding RNA is filed under the name Medicago truncatula (barrel medic). Its description in RNAcentral is "long non-coding RNA (MTRU_LNC001246)". Lineage: Eukaryota; Viridiplantae; Streptophyta; Magnoliopsida; Fabales; Fabaceae. The record is from RNAcentral.
CCGUAUCCGAGCUUCAAAUAUAUAUGACAUAAGCAAUUGUGGCACUGUUAGGGAGAGCAUAUGGAAACAGCUUAUGACCUAUCCAAAAGUUGUUUUCAGCUUAUUUUCAUAAGCUCUCAAUGAUAACUUUUGAAAAUAUUUUUGAUAAGUAGUUACAUGAAAAUAUUUUUGAUUUUAUUAUAUCUUUUAUUAUAGAAGUACUUUAUGCAUAGGUACUUAUAUGAUAAGCACUUAUGCUAUGAGUGUUUAUUAAGUUGUUUAUCCAAAAGGGUCUACAGAAUAUCAGUGUAUUUAUUGAUCGGCUCAUUCAAAAUUUAUGAUAAGUGCUGAAUUUCAUGAUGUCUUUCUCUUUUUUUGGCUCAAUUUCGUGAGAUAUGAAGCAAUAUUCUUGGUGGUACUGC